UUGGUCGCUUUGGCAGCACAUAUGCUAAAAUUGGAACAGUACAGAGAUUAGCAUGGCCCCUGUGUGAGAAGGACACACAGAUUUGUGAAGCAUUCCAUUAAAGA
Cercocebus atys (sooty mangabey) is the source of this 104-nucleotide small nuclear RNA. Lineage: Eukaryota; Metazoa; Chordata; Mammalia; Primates; Cercopithecidae. The record is from Ensembl.